This 169-nucleotide ribosomal RNA is filed under the name uncultured marine bacterium. RNAcentral's name for it is "partial 16S ribosomal RNA". It matches the Rfam family "Bacterial small subunit ribosomal RNA", at positions 338 to 524 of the family's 1533-position model. The record is from RNAcentral.
CCUACGGGAGGCAGCAGUGGGGAAUCUUGCACAAUGGGGGAAACCCUGAUGCAGCGAUGCCGCGUGAGUGAAGAAGGCCUUUGGGUUGUAAAGCUCUUUCGUCGGGGAAGAAAAUGACUGUACCCGAAUAAGAAGGUCCGGCUAACUUCGUGCCAGCAGCCGCGGUAAU